AUUGAACGCUGGCGGCAUGCUCUACACAUGCAAGUCGAACGGUAACAGGCCGCAAGGUGCUGACGAGUGGCGCACGGGUGAGUAAUGCAUCGGAACGUGCCCAGUCGUGGGGGAUAACUACUCGAAAGAGUAGCUAAUACCGCAUACGAUCUAUGGAUGAAAGCGGGGGACCGUAAGGCCUCGCGCGAUUGGAGCGGCCGAUGUCAGAUUAGGUAGUUGGUGGGGUAAAGGCGCACCAAGCCAACGAUCUGUAGCUGGUCUGAGAGGACGACCAGCCACACUGGAACUGAGACACGGCCCAGACUCCUACGGGAGGCAGCAGUGGGGAAUUUUGGACAAUGGGCGCAAGCCUGAUCCAGCAAUGCCGCGUGCAGGAAGAAGGCCUUCGGGUUGUAAACUGCUUUUGUACGGAACGAAACGGCUCUGGUUAAUACCCGGGGCUAAUGACGGUACCGUAAGAAUAAGCACCGGCUAACUACGUG
RNAcentral lists this ribosomal RNA (482 nucleotides) under uncultured bacterium. RNAcentral describes it as "partial 16S ribosomal RNA". It matches the Rfam family "Bacterial small subunit ribosomal RNA", at positions 30 to 507 of the family's 1533-position model. The record is from RNAcentral.